ACUAUUUUGGCAGAAAAAGUGUAAUGGUUUUAGAAAUCAUAAAUAUAUAAUUUAUUAUAUAAGUAGUA
This 68-nucleotide transfer RNA is filed under the name Atteva charopis. Its description in RNAcentral is "tRNA-Leu". Lineage: Eukaryota; Metazoa; Arthropoda; Insecta; Lepidoptera; Attevidae. The record is from RNAcentral.